This 468-nucleotide ribosomal RNA is filed under the name uncultured bacterium. RNAcentral describes it as "partial 16S ribosomal RNA". It matches the Rfam family "Bacterial small subunit ribosomal RNA", at positions 28 to 507 of the family's 1533-position model. The record is from RNAcentral.
GACGAACGCUGGCGGCGUGCUUAACACAUGCAAGUCGAACGGAAAGGCCCUGCUUUUGUGGGGUGUUCGAGUGGCGAACGGGUGAGUAACACGUGAGUAACCUGCCCUUGACUUUGGGAUAACUUCAGGAAACUGGGGCUAAUACCGGAUAGGAGCUCCUGCUGCAUGGUGGGGGUUGGAAAGUUUCGGCGGUUGGGGAUGGACUCGCGGCUUAUCAGCUUGUUGGUGGGGUAGUGGCUUACCAAGGCUUUGACGGGUAGCCGGCCUGAGAGGGUGACCGGCCACAUUGGGACUGAGAUACGGCCCAGACUCCUACGGGAGGCAGCAGUGGGGAAUAUUGCACAAUGGGCGGAAGCCUGAUGCAGCAACGCCGCGUGCGGGAUGACGGCCUUCGGGUUGUAACCCGCUUUCGCCUGUGACGAAGCGUGAGUGACGGUAAUGGGUAAAGAAGCACCGGCUAACUACGUG